AUGUUUAGGGUCAGGGUAAGGAUUAUGGUCACAGAGUAAGGGUCCAGGUUAGGAUUAGGAUUAUGUUUAAGGUCACAGAGUAAGGGUCCAGGUUAGGAUUAGGAUUAUGUUUAAGGUCACAGAGUAAGGGUCCAGGUUAGGAUUAGGAUUAUGUUUAUGGUCACAGAGUAAGGGUGCAGGUUAGGAUUAGGAUUAUGUUUAAGGUCACAGGGUAAGGGUCCAGGUUAGGGUUAAGUUUAUGUUUAAGGUCACAGAGUAAGGGUCCAGGUUAGGAUUAGGAUUAUGUUUAAGGUCACAGGGUAAGGGUCCAGGUUAGGGUUAAGAUUAUGUUUAAGGUCACAGAGUAAGGGUCCAGGUUAGGAUUAGGAUUAUGUUUAAGGUCACAGAGUAAGGGUCCAGGUUAGGGUUAAGAUUAUGUUUAAGGUCACAGAGUAAGGGUCCAGGUUAGGAUUAGGAUUAUGUUUAAGGUCACAGGGUAAGGGUCCAGGUUAGGGUUAAGAUUAUGUUUAAGGUCACAGAGUAAAGGUUCAGGUUAGGUAGGAUUAGGAUUAUGUUUAAGGUCACAGAGUAAGGGUCCAGGUUAGGAUUAGGAUUAUGUUUAAGGUCAC
RNAcentral lists this long non-coding RNA (608 nucleotides) under Salmo salar (Atlantic salmon). RNAcentral's name for it is "lncRNA (ENSSSAG00000105624.1)". Lineage: Eukaryota; Metazoa; Chordata; Actinopteri; Salmoniformes; Salmonidae. The record is from RNAcentral.